This 7964-nucleotide long non-coding RNA is filed under the name Linum usitatissimum (flax). RNAcentral's name for it is "long non-coding RNA (LUSI_LNC002550)". The record is from RNAcentral. Lineage: Eukaryota; Viridiplantae; Streptophyta; Magnoliopsida; Malpighiales; Linaceae.
AUUGAAGGUUAAUCUUGGGCGAAUUGAAGUUUCUUUUUGGGUUUCAGUAGUUUAACAAAUGUUGGAAGCUAGUGUGAAGCUGUCUACAGUUCAAUUGCGAUCGUUUGUUCUGUUAUUGGAGACUACAAUUUUGUGUUGGAAACUUGGCAAAUGGAUUUUGACUUUUUAUAUGAUGCGAUGAUCACCUUGUUUUUCGUGGCAUGAGAGGAUUUGCAUACUGUGCUGUUGCCUUUGAUCCUCUUACUUAGCUUCUGCUGUUCACUGGCUUGGUAAAAAUCCUAACUAAGAUGGGAAGGAUUAGCCAAUAAAGAUGUAGACUAGUCAGUGGACUUUAAGCUUGAUUGAAAUUCUCAUUUAUGAAAAAUCCAAUUGAGAGUAAAGCAAUGGCACUGCCAGUUAUCUCCUUUGGCAGUGGGUAUGAUCUAUCUCUACAAAUUGUCUGAUUGAUCACAAUCUCUACUAGGAAUCCUGUCUUUCCUAGGGAUUGGUUAAUUCUAUAGUGCCACUUGCGCUUGUAUUUAGAGCGUCGGGAUCCCGAUCCCUAUUACACCCUUGUGGUUAUUUGAGGUUUUAUUCUUUAUGCUACCCUUACCUCCAGAUGGUGCUCUAACUCUGUGGAUGAUCAUGUGGAAAACCUUUCGGUAUCCUGAGGAUAUUAUGUGGUAUAUAAUUAAGGAAAAUGUUUUGGUAUUUCUUGGGUAUUGGUACUCUAUAUGUUUAUUAUAUUUUGUGUGUAAAAUUAUGAUUUUUGAAGUUGAAGAUUUUCUGUUUAGGAUUAGGGUAUAGUGUCAGGGGUUAGAGUUUGAUAUAUAGGGUUUAGGAUUUAUUGAUUUAUAGUUAAAAGUUAGAGUUUGUGAUACAAUUUUAAGUUUUGAGUUUAUGAUAGUGUUUGAGGGUUAGGAUUUAGUGUUUAGCGUGUUAGCACUAUUUUAUAGUGUUUAGAGUUUACUAUAAGGACUUUAUGAUUUAAUUUUUGAAUUUUAAAUCUUAAUAAUAUAAAAAAUUUAAUAUAAAAGGUGCCGGUUCCUCCAGAGUAUCAAAACGCUCCCAUAUGAAAACAUUAAAAUCCGGCAUCGGAAUUCUCGAAAUCAUUUGUAUUGCCAGGAUCAUAUCCUAACUGGUGUCUUUAGCUCACUCUUUCAUGAUGGAUGACAGGCUAGUUUGUUAUACCGGUGGGAUCUGCUUCCGCCGUCGGCAGCUAUAUGGAAGAUGACUAGAGUUCUUUGUUUCGGACUAGAUGGAUCUUUCUUUUUUUGGGCCCAACUUCGUUAUUGGCAAGUGACUAUGUGUUUCCGUUGUUUGUGAAACCGAGAAUCCGGGUACCCGCCCGGAUUCGGCCCGGUUUGACCGGUUAUGUGUUGAUUGACCAAAUAGACUACCAGAUUCGGGUGGACCCGGUGCCCGUUGGGCUCAGGGCCGGGCUGGGUUUCGGGAGGCCCAUAACCGACCCGGAUACCCGAACAAAAGCGCCACCACCACCGCUUGUACCUCGAGUUUCGAGAAGGCCUUCCUGCCCUCUGCCUGCCUUCCUGCCUGCUUCAUUUCUUCCAUCUCUAUUCUCUCGUCUCUCUCUCGACUCCCGAUCGAGUUCUCUCUCAAUUCAAUUCACAGUCACAGUAAAUCAGUAAUUGCGCUGCUUCCCAAAAUCCGUCGAUUCCAAUAUUCUAAGUUCUUAGCCGUUAGUGAUUAUGAUUCCAGUCCAGAUGCUUUGAACUUGGGGGGGUCGAUUGAUCGAUUCGAGUUCUACUUCUAGUCUUCAACUUCAGUAGUUCAGUUCUUUAAAAUGGUCGACGAAGAACAGGCUGCAUGUGGAUUCAAAGAAAGCUUCCAGAGUCAGAGCAAAGUUCUUGCAUCUUCUUGGUAAGUAUCGAUCAUCCUGCAUCUUCUUGGUAGGAUUUCUGUUUAAUCUUCUCAUUCUUCGUCCUCCUCUUUUCGUCUAGGGGUGAUUUGUAAUAAAUCAGUCGCAAUCAACCAUCAAUUCAUAAUUUCUUCGUCUAGGGUUUCUAUUUCUGACAACUGAGUCUCUGAUUUCGUACAUGCAGCUUCAUCGUUGUGUUCCAGAAGAUCAUCAUCGACACUGUUUCUAGACGAGGUGAACUUAUGUAGCUGUAGUCUUUUUGUAUUGUUUCCUGAAUGUCACUGGUAAUGGACCAGUUCCUGGACCUGAUGGUCAGUUGGUUCCUGGUAGGCAAACAAGUGAUGUGUGGGUUGAUUUCACCAAAGUAUGGUACAAAGGAGAGGUGAAAGCUCAGUGCAAGCAUUGCAAGAAGCAUCUGGUUGGUCAUUCCAACAACGGUACAUCACACCUUAAGAACCAUUCGUCCACCUGCAUCCAGAAGAAGAUUCAAGAUGGCUCACAGAAGAUGAUCGGACCGAAUUGGAAUGUGAAAGGAAAAAAAGAGAUGUCUUCUAUCAAUUUCAAGAGUGAAGUUUCAAGGCAAGAGCUGGCAAUGGCGGUUGUGAUGCAUGAAUAUCCCCUGAGCAUGGUGAAACACCUCUACUUCAAGAGGUUUGUGACGAGUCUACAACCUCUGUUUCAUGUACCAUGUCGGAAUACAAUGAAGAAGGAGCUACUUAACUUGCAUGAGCAUGAAAGGACGAAGAUUCAGCGUAUCAUUGAUCGUAAUUUGGGAAAGGUGGCUGUAACUACAGACCUUUAGAUAGCUUCUAACCAAAAGAAGGGCUACAUGGCUGUUACUGGUCAUUACAUUGAUAACAACUGGACUCUUCGUAGCCAUUUGCUCAGGUUUGUAAUCUUUUCUAGGGUCUUUGUUUUGCUUUAAAUUGGUUUCAGAAUUCUAAUGUACCUUGUUUAUGUUUGCUGGAUUUCGUAGGUUUAUUUACGUUCCUGCUCCGCAUACGGCUGAAAGGCUGGCAAGCAUCUUGCUCGAGUGCCUCAUGGAUUGGAACAUCGAUUCCAAGAUCAGUACCAUCACCUUGGACAACUGCUCGACCAAUGACUCUAUGGUUGAAAAGGUGAAACCUAAACUGCUUUCUAAUUUCUUGAUUAGGGAGGGUGCUCUAUUACAUAUGAGGUGUGCAGCUCAUAUACUUAAUCUGAUUGUGAAAGAUGGCCUUGCUGUGAUAAAAGAUGGUUUAGUUAAAAUUCGUGAAAGUUGUGCAUUUUGGCUUGCUACACCUAGAAGGUUAGAGAAGUUCCAAGAAACGGCUAAGCAAUUAAGAAUUGUUUCUCAGAACAGAUUAGUCCUAGACUGUCCAACUAGGUGGAACAGCACGCAUGCCAUGCUAGAAACUGCUAUACCUAACAUGAAUGUGUUUAAGAGGCUUGCUCAACGAGACCCUAGUUAUACUAGUUUGCCCGAUGACACUCAAUGGCAAUUUGCUUCAAUUAUAUCUGAAAAGCUUGGUUUUUUUACUCCGAUUACCAAAUUGUUCUCGGGGAAUAACUAUCCUACGGCCAACCUUUUCUUCUCAAGGGUUUGUGAUCUGAAACUGAAACUGAUGGAUUGGAUGGAUGAUUCUAAUCCUGUCAUUCGUAGCAUGGCUACAUCAAUGGAUAUGAAAUUUCAGAAAUACUGGAAUGACAUUCAUGAUUUGUUGAGUGUUGCUGUGGUGCUUGAUCCAAGGUGCAAAUUAGAAAUCGUUGAAUUCUAUGCUGCAAAGUUUGCUAGGGAUGAUUAUGAACCAGACUUGCAAUCUUUGGGUGUUAGACAGCUCUUGUCUCAAUUGGUUCAUGAAUACCAGAAUACUACUAGGAUAGUAGUUAAUCAGUCCUCCACUGCAACUCCCAAUCCUGAUUCUGGAUCAGGUUCUAGUGCUGCAUGUUCUGAUUUCGAGCAUUUUGUUAGAGAAAGGAAGAAAUCGAGAAUGACUGUUGUUCAGUCUGAGUUAGAUCAUUAUCUAGCGGAUGAUGUAGCCCCAAAUACUAAGGACUUUGACCUAUUAGGGUGGUGGAAAACUAAUGCUGCUAAGUACCCUACCUUAGCCGAUAUGGCAAGGGAUUUUCUUGCUGUCCCCAUCACCUCUGUGGCCUCUGAAUCAGCCUUCAGUUCAGGGGGUCGACUGCUCGAUCCUCAUCGUAGUAGAUUGCAUCAAAAAAAUGUGGAGGCAUUGAUGUGCACUCGAUCUUGGAUGCAAGAUGACUUAAAGACAGGUAAAUUUUCAUCUAAUUCUGAAAUUCACCAUCUGACUUUUCACUUCUAACUUACUGGAUUCUUGUUGUAUUUCUCAGAUAAGUCGUUCACUAAGGCUCAAGGUGGUCAGUUGGAGGGGUUAUUCAGUUUGCUAGAGGUUAAUGACGUUGUAGCAGAAGAAGAAGCUGAAAUUGAGGGUAAGAACUUCAUGAACCUCUACUUGAACGUUCUGUUUGCACAAAAUGAUUGGUUAAUGAUUAGUCUUGUUCCUGAAUCAGAACACGAACAACCGAUGGACGUUGAAGGCUCUGUAAUGAAUGUCAUUGAUUGAAUUUUGAUGCUGCUGCUGAUUGAGGUUGAUGCUGCAUUGCUGCUGCUGAUGUUGGUAGUUUAGAAUGUUGGAGGUUCAUGUUGUUUCGUAACUCAUGUUGUUUCCUUGAAAUUCAGACUUUGAUUCCAGUUGUUCCCGUUGUUUAUGUUUUCAGACUUUGAUUCAUACUUAUUUUCCUUGAACUGAGACUUUGAUUCAUACUUGUUUUACUUGUUUUCUUGGAAGUUGUUGGUUAUGGAUUGAGAAAUUUUUCAAUGUUAGUGUUUUGUUAUAGUCAACGGGCUUUGCCCGUUUACCCGUAGACCCGCCAGUUCUGGGUUUCGAUAUUUAAUUUUACCCGUACUGAUAAUCCGGGCAUGCAUUCUAAAAUCCGGAUAGAUUACGGACCGGAUUUCGGGGGAUAUAUAUCCGGACCCGAUGUACCCGAAUGCCACCCGUAACGGUUACUUACACCCCAACCCCCAACCAACCCUUUCCCUAUUCCUCCCUACUCCUCUAAACCUCCUCCCCUUUCUCCCUUUUUCUAUAUUUUUUACAUUAGUUAGGUUUGUGUGGUACAUUGGCAUCUCCUUUCACUUGGACUGAGAAUCCGGUCGGGUUUGAUUGGUUUCUAUCCGGUAUGGUCCGUCAAAUCGGAUUUUAGAUACCUAAAAUCCGGUCAAUAUAAAUAAUGCAUCGGGUUUGAGUUUUUUAAAAAGAGUAAUUCCAGGUUUCGGGUUUUUCAAGUUUAAAAUCAAACUCGAUCCGGUCCAAACCCAAUCCAUUAAUCAUCAAACAAAUAUUUACUACACAGGUUCACAAAUUAUGUUCAACAUCACCUGGAAAACAUCAACAAUACAGAUAACCCAUCACCUGGAAAACAUCACGUCUUCCAUCUUCCAUCACUAAUCUACCCUCCUCUCCCCCAUUUCUAUUAUUAAAUCAUCAAACCCAUCCAAUUAGCCUCCGGCCACAAUAAAUAGCCCCAUACAAUCAUCAUCAUUAAACCUAUAUAUCAACAUCAUCAAGAAAGAAUGCGACUUGACGAUGUGGGGAGAAUCAGUGCGGCAGAGGAUCUCCAUCUCCCGGAAAAUCUGGCGGGAGAUUUUGUUGUCGUCGCGAACUUUGUAAACCGUGCCGCCGUUGCCAUGUCCGAGGACGCAUAGCCUUUUUAGGUCGGAGGUGAUGAGGGAGGAGAAGGAAUUAGUGGUGGUACUGGUGGUGGUGGUCGCGGCGGAGGAGGGAUGGAGAGGUAAAGCGAAACGAGGACGACGUUCGGUGAGUUCCGGGAGGUGAAGGUUGAGCUGAAGGCGUUCAUGGAACGACCAUAGAAUUUGGAGGAGGCGCAAAAAGCUUUAUUGGGUAGGGUUAUUAUAAUUUUGGGCUCUAUUGGGUCAGACUUUUCCCUUCAGAUCCGUCGGCCAAAAUGAAAAUAAAAAAUUGAAUUUGUAUUUUUAUGUGUUUACCCGGUCCAACCCAGAAAAAUGAGUUAAAACCAUCCCCUACCCGAUUGUUUAAGUGGACCGGGUUUAGGUUUUACAUUUAGAUUAAUUAAAAGCCUGAAACCCGGUUUGACCUGACGGGGUUUGGCCCGGCCCGGCCCAAAUCUCAGCCCUACCUUCCACGGAACUCCACGUUAAGAAAAAAAGAGUCGUUGGAAAGUGGUCUGCGAUAGGAGGAUUCGUUUUAUUCAAUCCAAGUCCAACAUUCGUUCGUUUUGAAUGCGUUUAGGAAGUUGAGCUUGAUGACUCAUCUCUUCCAAGAACUCGUUUUCUCCCUUUGAAUCAACCUUUGAACUGCUAGUUUUAAUUAACAAUUAGAGUAACUAAAAUCCAAAACCAAUUCUGUUAGUCUAAACCGUAUUGGCAAGUUUGAGUAGAAGUAUAACGAGAAGAACCUUUGGACACAAACGACACUUGCGUUGUCAAAUUAACCAUUAAGUUAUUUCAGCGAUCACAUACUCCAACCCGUCGUCAGUGAUGAUCAUCUUACCCCAUGGUGAACGAGGAGCUGGAUAAUAACCGUCAUCCAACAUGGUAUCAAUAACAACAAUGAUUAAAUAACCACACCUACCACUGAAACCCUAAUACAAAAACUUCUUUUUAGGGUUUAGAAUUGAAUAGAAGCUUCCAAAAAGUGAAUACAACCAAACAAAACAUCCACCAACAUACUGGUGGAACUCCGCAACAUGUGAUCCUUCGCUUUUUCUCACAGAAAACGACAAUCAAUCGAAAUAAACAAAUGUAGAGUCAGGAGAUUCACCUGUUUCGAUAUCUUGUUACUACAAAAAGCCCUCAAAUACCAACAAAAGCCUCUUCCAAAGUCUGCCGCCGUUGUACCGUCCGCCGCCGUUCUUCAACCAAAUCUGCCUUCUUUCACGAGGAAAUCUGUCGCUGUUUUUCAACCACAAACCAUAAUUUUCAAUCUAAAAGCCGAUCUUCUCUAAAUCCGAGCCAAUACCACCAUCUUCUAUUAACCACAAUUCAUUUAUACAGAAACUAGGUUUUUGUGUUAAAGAACAUUUGUGAUAGUUCAAAGAGAGAUGGAAUAGUUUCGUGGGAGAUUAAAAGGUAUAUGGAAGAGAUAAGGGUAGGGAUUUGUGGGGAUAAGGUUUCAAUAAUUGGGUAGUGAAAUGUUGAUUGGGUAAGUGAAAAGUUCAGUCAGCGAUAAAAAUUUCAUGUCAGUGAAUUUUUGAUAAAGGAUUUACGAAUUUCAAACGGCGUGACAUAAUACUUUGAAAAGAUUGGAUUGUUCGUGAUAUAGAUACAAUUACCUGUAAACUAAUGAAAAAGUGGAAGAUACAAUUCAAAAUGAAAGACAUGAAAUUAAUACAUGAAUACCCAUGAACCUUAUUCAGAAGCCGUUGGCUCCUUAUUCUAGAAGUAGUAUAUUUUCAAUUUCCGUAUGGGAUAGAUGAUCAAAUCAUCUGUACGUGCAGAUGAUUCCAAUGGACGGCCGAGGCUGGCCAAAGUUGAUCUGACGACUAGCGAUAAAAAUUCCAAAAGAUUCAAGUGGGAUGGAGAAAGGGAAAUUUAGGAAUCAAAUUAAUUUUUUAUCUCUCCCUUUGUUCCUUCCGACCAAUGUUUCCGGACCGGAGAUCAAACCGGUGAGAUUACUGGUUCAGAGUUUGAUGGUUUGACCAGGUUUGAUCGUUCACUAAACCGGGUCGAACAAUUUUAAUUAUUAAAUAAUAAAUAAAUAGAAUUGAGCCGGAUCGAAUAACUUGUAAAUUGAACCGAAUCAAACCGACAAUAUAUAGAGUUCAAUAUCAUAAUCUAAUUUUUAAUAAAUAUAGUUAUUGAAUAAUUUUGUAAGAAGUUUCAAACUAUAUAAAUAAUUUGAAGUUUUUUAUUAAUCAAAUUAUUGAAAUUUAAUGUAUAUAUUAUUUAAUUUAUAAUAAGAUGCCAUAUUUUAAUGUUAAUUAGUUGUUAUAAUAUUUAUUAUUAUCAAUUAAAUGUAUAAUUUAAUCAAAUAAUGAUAUUAGUAAAGAUGGUUAUUAUCCUUUCUUUGUCCUUUAGAGACUAGGAUUUGAAUCUCAUUAACCACAUUGUUUUUAAAAA